UCCCGCAGCCCUUCUUGGGCGUUUCCUCCCUAGACUUCGGGCCGCCCUCCAUCGGGGCGGCCUUUUUUUGUUUCGGGA
This 78-nucleotide small RNA is filed under the name Methylorubrum salsuginis. RNAcentral describes it as "suhB". It matches the Rfam family "Makes More Granules Regulator RNA (mmgR)". Rfam says of the family: SuhB later renamed mmgR (makes more granules regulator) was a putative non-coding RNA found multiple times in the Agrobacterium tumefaciens genome and related alpha-proteobacteria. Other non-coding RNAs uncovered in the same analysis include: speF, ybhL, metA, and serC. The record is from RNAcentral. Lineage: Bacteria; Pseudomonadati; Pseudomonadota; Alphaproteobacteria; Hyphomicrobiales; Methylobacteriaceae.